AGAGUUGCAAAAUCAGCGGCCAAAGAUUAAUAUAAUCUUUUUGUUGUUGCCAAAAAAAAAAAACAGUAUUGGUGAGGUCAAAGGCUGGUCAAAUAAUGGUGAUAAUGGUAGUAGUGGUGCGGUAGUCCUAGUAAUCAAGUGAUAAUGCUUGUUUAUUGUGGACAUUCAAUUUGGCUUCGUAAAACCUAGAAAAUCUUAAAGUGAAUCCUAAAAAAAAAGGGUCUUUAUUCCUCAUUGUUCUUUAAGAAAGUUCGUAAGGUGUUAGAUGUAGGCCACGCUUUGGGUAUUGAAUUUAGAGGAGGGAGAAAGUAUAAUUUGAAGAAACUUGUCGAAAUGCAAGAGAAAGAAUUAAAGGAAAGGUCCCAAGCUCUAGAUGACGCUCUGGAGGAGUUUGUCUCGGAAGAUGAUUGUGUGGAUGGUACGUGUAUCUCUAUCUAUGGUUUUUUAAUAUCGAGUUGUGGCGGGUUAGGGGGGUUUUUUUUUCCGGUGUCUUCGAGUUUUUUUUCUUUCGGCUGGUUGUUUUUGGGCUAUUUUGGUUUUUGUGGUUCCUUUUUGGUGUGCGGCUAGCGUCUUGCCUUCCCUUAGGUCUCGGGUGGCUUUUUGCCAGUGUAUUCAUGAUCCUUUUAAUCUUUAUAAUCCUUUAUAAAGAUUAAUAAAUUCUUUUUGCCUUGAAGGUUUGGGAAUUAAAAGACUUCUUGAACACAACAUUGCUCGAUCUCUUAGCAAAAUGGUGAUGGAGAUUCAGCUCUGAAAAGCAAUCUUUAUGGGUUAAAUUGGUCACUAAAAAAUACAAAUCUAUCUAUCUAUUAAUAUCCUAUAGGAAUGUAUGUGAACCCCUAAAACCUCCAAACUUUCAAUUCUAAAUUCCUAGAUUUUCCAUUUUCUUUAAAAAUAACGAACCCCACGUUCACCUGUAUUCCCAAAUUUUUCAUUCUCUUUAAAAAAAAAAACAAACAAACCCCACAUUCACCUCACCUGUCUCCUAAUAACUCCCACGCCCUCCCUCUCCUUUCCUCCUUUCCAGCAUGCCACUUCAACCCCCACAUCCCCCCUAGUCGAUCCCCAUGUCUACUAUUUCCUCUUUUUCUCUUCUUCUACUAAUUAAAACUCUUCUCAUGCAACUCCUCACCAUUUUUCUCAUUCUAUUAAUCAUCACCGAUGCAACUCCUCACUUUUCCUUUUCUUUAAUCUUCACCAUUUCCGUAUUGUAGCCAAAAGGGGAAGUUUACACAUCAAUCCAUACAUAAUUUUGAAAGCUAGAGGCUACGUUUUGUUUAAGUUCUCAUCAACUCUCAAAGGAUGUCGAGCUCUUCUUCGUGAGGAUCAUUUGGUACGAGU
This is a long non-coding RNA of Rhododendron vialii, 1338 nucleotides long. RefSeq lists it as uncharacterized. The record is from RefSeq and is a predicted model, not a curated record. NCBI's taxonomy places the organism in Eukaryota, Viridiplantae, Streptophyta, Magnoliopsida, Ericales, Ericaceae. The transcript has 3 exons.